UUUCAAAGGACAGUGCAUAGGUACUCAGCAGCCCCAGAACUACACAUUUUCUCCACUCAUUUUUCAUUGCCCCUAGUUGUUUAACAUAUUUUCAUCAACAAUCUGUUAAGUAUUCACCAUGUGCCUAUCCUUGUGUCAGUGUAAGUCAUCUAAAAUAUAUUUAUACUGAUUAUUCAUGUUUUAGAAUUCUGUUCUUCUAGUAAAGGAUAAUGAGGAGAGGAAGGUAUUUUUUUUUUCUUUUUCUCUAGCUAGAGAACAAGGGUGUUGUAACCCAGAAGAGCCUUCCCUGCCAGGACUACUAGGCUUAUGCAUGCCCGUACACACUGAUCUAUCCCUAAAGUGUGUUUGAACUUGAGCUUAAUGAAGGCAGAGACCAUGUAUUGUGGCCAGCAUAAAGCAUCGGCUGGAACAGAUAGAUGCUCGAAGUCAAAUAAACAAAUGAUUAAGCAAUUUCUUUGGCCAAUCCCCAAAAAGUAUUUGGACUAGUCAUUUUAUUACUCUGUGCCUUUUUUUUACUAAUUUGUAAAAUGAAGAUGAAAAGAAUAUUCACCCUAUAUGGAAACUUUGAAAUCCCAUUAAAU
Molecule: long non-coding RNA, 581 nt
Filed under: Marmota monax (woodchuck)
Lineage: Eukaryota; Metazoa; Chordata; Mammalia; Rodentia; Sciuridae
Source: RNAcentral